AUGAACGCUGGCGGCGUGCCUAAUACAUGCAAGUCGAGCGAACGGACGAGAAGCUUGCUUCUCUGAUGUUAGCGGCGGACGGGUGAGUAACACGUGGAUAACCUACCUAUAAGACUGGGAUAACUUCGGGAAACCGGAGCUAAUACCGGAUAAUAUUUUGAACCGCAUGGUUCAAAAGUGAAAGACGGUCUUGCUGUCACUUAUAGAUGGAUCCGCGCUGCAUUAGCUAGUUGGUAAGGUAACGGCUUACCAAGGCAACGAUGCAUAGCCGACCUGAGAGGGUGAUCGGCCACACUGGAACUGAGACACGGUCCAGACUCCUACGGGAGGCAGCAGUAGGGAAUCUUCCGCAAUGGGCGAAAGCCUGACGGAGCAACGCCGCGUGAGUGAUGAAGGUCCUCGGAUCGUAAAACUCUGUUAUUAGGGAAGAACAUAUGUGUAAGUAACUGUGCACAUCUUGGACGGUACCUAAUCAGAAAGCCACGGAUAACUACGUGCCAGCAGCCGCGGUAAUACGUAGGUGGCAGGCGUUAUCGGGAAUUAUUGGGCGUAAAGCGCGCGUAGGCGGUUUGGAAGUCUGAUG
This 583-nucleotide ribosomal RNA is filed under the name uncultured Staphylococcus sp. Its description in RNAcentral is "bacterial SSU rRNA". It matches the Rfam family "Bacterial small subunit ribosomal RNA", at positions 29 to 594 of the family's 1533-position model. Lineage: Bacteria; Bacillati; Bacillota; Bacilli; Caryophanales; Staphylococcaceae. The record is from RNAcentral.